This 161-nucleotide ribosomal RNA is filed under the name Rheum tanguticum. RNAcentral's name for it is "5.8S ribosomal RNA". It matches the Rfam family "5.8S ribosomal RNA". From Rfam's summary of the family: 5.8S ribosomal RNA (5.8S rRNA) is a component of the large subunit of the eukaryotic ribosome. It is transcribed by RNA polymerase I as part of the 45S precursor that also contains 18S and 28S rRNA. Lineage: Eukaryota; Viridiplantae; Streptophyta; Magnoliopsida; Caryophyllales; Polygonaceae. The record is from RNAcentral.
AGAACGACUCUCGGCAACGGAUAUCUCGGCUCUCGCAUCGAUGAAGAACGUAGCGAAAUGCGAUACUUGGCGUGAAUUGCAGAAUCCCGUGAACCAUCGAGUCUUUGAACGCAAGUUGCGCCCGAAGCCUUCUGGCCGAGGGCACGUCUGUCUGGGCGUCA